AGUCGCAUCGUGACCGCGCGUCGCGACACACGCGCGCUGUUCCGUUACUCGCUGACACCGCUCGAUCGCCAUGGUGUCCGUGGGCGCGUGGAGGCGACGCGCCCCCGACGACUGCGAGGAGCGCUCCGAACCCGGCACCUCCAGCUCGGGAGUGCCGCGCGCGCCGCCCAACUGUGCCCGCUGCCGCAACCACCGGCUCAAGGUCGAACUGAAGGGACACAAACGAUACUGCAAGUACCGGUACUGCACGUGCGAGAAGUGCCGGCUGACCGCCGACAGACAGCGGGUGAUGGCGCUCCAGACGGCUCUGAGACGUGCCCAGGCGCAGGACGAGGCGCGAGCGCGUUCCAUGGAGGCCGGCAUACACCCGACAGGAGUUGAAUUGGAGCGGCCCGAGCCGCCCGUGGUCAAGGCACCCAGAAGCCCGGUGGUCCCGCCGCCUCCGCCGAGGUCCCUCGGCUCAGCCAGCUGUGACUCCGUGCCAGGGUCCCCCGGGGUGUCGCCGUACGCGCCGCCGCCGCCGCCGCCGUCGUCGUCGGCGCCCCCGCCGCCCAACAUGCCGCCGCUGCUGCCACCACAGCAACCCGCGGUGUCCCUAGAAACCCUGGUGGAAAACUGUCACAAACUCCUAGAGAAGUUCCACUAUUCCUGGGAGAUGAUGCCCCUCGUGCUGGUCAUCCUGAAUUACGCGGGCAGCGACCUGGACGAAGCCUCGAGGAAGAUUGAUGAAGGGAAGAUGAUCAUCAACGAGUACGCGCGGAAGCACAACCUCAACAUCUUCGACGGCUUAGAGCUGAGGAACUCGACUCGCCAGUACGGACUUUAAUAUGACCGGACGAAGGUGGCGAAAUUUGCAAUAUAAUUUAAAGUGACAGUGUUGUGAUAGUGUGUGAUGUCGAUGUUAUUUUAUUUUAAUUUUCUUUUUUGUAGGAAAAUGCUGCAAAGCGAAAUUAAUAAUAUAAGUGGUGUACUAUCAUCGUCGAUGAAGUUGUUUUGCGAAUGAUACUUAGUUUUACCAGUGUGUGUUGUGAGGACGCGUGCUGUGCGUCGCUGUGUGUUGCGAACUCAGAAGAAUUGUGAACGGCUAGCUACAAAGGACUUUUAGCCCACUGGGUGGUGCACCAGUGGCGGCUGUACGAGCGGUCGCUGUGCUCGCUGCUGGAGCUGCAGGCGCGCAAGGGCUCCUCGUACUCCAUGUGCUGCUCGCCGCGGUACGUGCUCGCUCCCGAGUAUGCGCCGCACGUCCUGCCGCUGCCGCUCACGACGCGCCCGUCACCGCCGCCCGCGCACUUGUAGCGGCGCGACCCGCCGCCUGGCCAGACGGCGCCCGAGUCAUCAGAGCCUCCGUCGGCCUCGGCGAGCGGUAGCAGUUCGUAAGCGGGUCCAUAAGGCCCUUACUAUUCUUACUAUACAGUGUGAUAGACACAGUGCUAUGUGCUAACGCUACA
Molecule: RNA transcript, 1448 nt
Organism: Ostrinia furnacalis (Asian corn borer)
Lineage: Eukaryota; Metazoa; Arthropoda; Insecta; Lepidoptera; Crambidae
Gene: dsx
Gene name: transcription factor doublesex
Exons: 6
Source: RefSeq, a predicted model, not a curated record